Molecule: long non-coding RNA, 1414 nt
Organism: Aedes aegypti (yellow fever mosquito)
Lineage: Eukaryota; Metazoa; Arthropoda; Insecta; Diptera; Culicidae
Exons: 2
Source: RefSeq, a predicted model, not a curated record
UCGCAAAUAAAUUUAUCUGAGCUAGUCGUUUUGACCUUGAACUCUUGCAACUCAUAAACUUAAUCAUGAAAUGCAAAUGAACGCCCUAUUCUGAAUAUCAAUUGACAGUUUACAAUGAAAUAUUUCUUUGUAAUCUCCAAGUGCUUGAAAUGCGAGACAAAACGGUACUCGUCUGUACUUUUUCGUGGUAAUGGAGGUGGUAAAUCGCUUGUGGUUUUAACUAAUAACAUCGAAUUCAGAAGUCAUAUAACUUAGGUUACAUUUUGACCAAAUGUUUACAGAUUAACACCGUCAGUGGCGUCUCUCAGUCGGGUAUUUCGUCAGAAAUGGUAGCGCAUACAAACUGAUGUAAACUUUAAAUUUCACAAUGGUAAGUCAUCGUCCUACACAUGUUCUAAUUAGCCAAAAUGAGUAUGCUCAACUGAUGAUUUAUACAACCUGAUGAAACUCAUUCAAUCAUACAAAAGUUUAGCAAACCAAUUAUCAAAUAUUCCUUAAACUGUUGGAUGUGUACACAUUACACACGACAGACUACAGGUGACCGUUUUGUGCUAAUUGAUAUCAGAACUAUAACGUGUCUAGUUCGUAGUUAUGAGUAACGAACCAAGAACGGCUUGUAGGGUGCCAUAUUUUUCACACCCUCCGGAAUAAUAGACAGAUGCCUUGCAACUUCUUAGAACUAAAAUUAUCGUGCUAGGGAUCACGUAUAAAUGCGAUUGCUAAUCAUCUCUCAGGGCUCAGAUCCAUCGCAUCGAUCAAGUGCGCAUUUUAAGUCGGACGUCAAUCCAACGUGAUAAACAAGUGUGACUAAAGUGCUAAAGAAAAUCCUACGUGCGAUAUCCAUAUCAAAAACAAUGUUUCUUGUGAAAGUUUUGAUUUCGUUUUUUCCACUAGUAUUAGUUGGAGUCUACGGUGUCCCGCUCCAACGGGAGUUGUUGGACACAUCGUCAGAAGGCACAUCCUCAGAUGCUGCUCCAACAUAUGUGGUGAAUUUCGACUCGGUAGAAGCGACAACCGAUCAAUACUUGUUAUAUGAGCUGCCCAUAGUGAAAAGAAGUAUUAUUGCUACAUUGGAAAAGCAAAAAACUGCAGUCGUAGAUUCAGAUUCUUCAUCGGUUGAGCAAAAUGAUAUGGAAGUGGCAGAGACGCAUCUCUUCCGGCCAGUGUUUCGUUACAAGUCCCAGUACGCAGAGCGAAGACGUAUCAGACAAAUUCCUCCGCAAUUUUCACUAGUUGUGCAACAGUGAGUGUAGGUAUUAUCAUGCUGAUUUAAUCUAUCCUAAGUACGUUUGUGAACGAUUUAUCAGAUCUCAUUGAAUAAGAUAAGUGAAACGAGUGAUUCUGUGAAUGCUAUUUGUUGAGUAAUAAAUAAGUCGAAAAUAUUCAAAAUAAAAUUUGUGUUUGAAAUGCCCAA